Brassica napus (rape) is the source of this 5983-nucleotide long non-coding RNA. RefSeq lists it as uncharacterized. The transcript has 2 exons. Lineage: Eukaryota; Viridiplantae; Streptophyta; Magnoliopsida; Brassicales; Brassicaceae. The record is from RefSeq and is a predicted model, not a curated record.
UUUUAAUUUAUAGUGGGGCCCACAUGAUUUUAAACUAUUUUUUUUUGGAAGAGUCAGCCUUAAGAGGCAGGGAUAUUAAUGCUCUUAGAACUUGGCGACUACAAAUUUUUGCUUGGGGCUUUUUUAGAAAGUUUUCCACAUUUUGCCAUUUUACGCUCCAUCUCUUAGCAAACUUUUAAAGACGCUCAUUAUUUGUCUACAAAAUAUUAUUUUUUAAGUUAGCAAGAGCAGGGGAAACGGAAACUAUAAUACUCUUUCCGUUCUAUAAAGAUUAUUCAUUUUACAUAUAUUGAAGUUUUAUGUUUUCAAUACAAUUUUAAGCUGGUUUACCAAAUUUAUCCAUAUUAAUCAAGAUAAUUAUUACUAAAAUCAUUGAACUUUGUGUCAUUAUUGAAUUAAAUGAAGGUUACUUUUGACAAUGCAAAUUUGUAAUUAAAAUAUGUGAAAAAAACUCAAAAACUUCUAUCUUAGUAGAACAGAGAUGUAUUAGUAAAUGAAAUUGUAUCUGAACAAAAAUGAAGUUGAUUACAUAAUUUAUUUUUAUUUUUGAUUCCAUAAUUGAUUACGUAAAUUUUAUAUUUAUACGAUGCAAGAGUAAAAUACAACUUUUUGAGUUUUUUUGUUAGUCAUUAACCAACUAAGCUACAAGAGAUUUUUUGAAAUUUGCCGCCAAAAUUUUACUUAUUGAAAAAAGGAGGAAUCACAUGCUUCCAUGGCUUUCUCUCAAGGCCGGUACUGACUAGUAUUAAUCGUUAAAGUUGGAUGUAAGUGUAUAAGGUUUUAGGAGAGUGAUAAAACAUAUCUUGAACCAAGAUGGAAUUAUGUAGCUUACGUAUAUAUUAACAAUGUUGAUUCCAAAAUUGAUUAUGCUAACCAUCUUACAUAGUAUGUAAAUUAAGUUCUAAACAAUUCGUGGAGACAAAACUUGGUGGUUUUUUUCGUUCUACAUAGACUGUGGUUAUGAUUUGUAUUAGAGUUGUUUUAUAGUAACAUAGUUGAUAUCCUAGAUUAGAAAAAUUCAACAAUUAGAUUUUGACUGAACUAUUUGUGUUCAAAGUUGUAUUCUAGAACUAGUCCAAUAAUUAGAUGGUUUUGACUGAAUCCUUUAUGUUUGAAGUUGUAUUUUGGGGGUGAAUCCAAUACAUGAAUGUUUUUGACUAAACCAUUUAUGCAAAGUUUUUUUUGUUCAGUGAUAAAUACUUGUCCCUCAAUAAUCUACAAAUGACAAUUUAGUAAAGUUCUUGUUAUUUAUUAUCCAAAGAUAAUGUUGACUCUUUCGAAUUGUAUUAUAUAUUAUUAAAUGGAUACAAAUUACACUGUGAAGGAUGGUAUAUGGUUAGAUUUCACUAGUAUUAUUAUAAAAACGGAUACAAAUUUUACUCUAAUAAGCUGGUUUUAUGAAUACAAAGACUAGUAUCAUAACCUAAUUAAAGAACAUGCAACUUUGACCAUAACUUAAAAGCCUAAUGCAAAAAAAGAGAGACUGGAAACACAUAAAUUAUUAAAAUAAAGCUCACGUUCGUAAUGCAGUUAGAUAUAAGAAAAGCGACUGAAGGUUACCGCUAUGCGUUCAUCAUCUGACAUCUCCAACCUUAACCUAAGUAUAACAUCAUAGAUAAGUCUGGUUCUAUAAUGAGUCAGCUUUUUAAAUUUGAUGUAUGCUUUUCUAUUAACAUAAAUAUUGUUCUUAAACAUGUCCCAUAAGUGGUUCUUACUAAAUUUAUUUUCAAACUUCGUAGUGUGACGAAGUCUCUUCCAACUUGAUUCAUGCCAAUCUUCGUUAUGGUCCAUUUCCUUUUCUCAUCGGCAUAAAGAGAAAAAGUAUCGGACACUGUUCUUAGUCCAACUUUAAUUACUAAGUCUCAUCAAUAGCCAAACAAACUAAUCUAGCAAAAAAAUUGUUACAGAACAUCUAGAAAACUAGAGCUGCAUAAAAAACUUAGAUCAAUAGCCAUUUGUCUUGUCUACUUGUGAUUUAUGUUCAAAUCUGAAAACAUAAAUACAAAUCUAAGCCAAAUCAUAACCGAGUAUGUAAAGUAACAAAUUUUAUGAUGAUUCCAAUAAACGAUCAAAGCCACAAACUGAAUCCCAAUUUCCACUUUCAUCUACAAACUCUAUCUCUACACAGAUUCCUAAUGAUGGAGUCUCAACGACUUACCACUGAAACAAGCAAGAAAUGGAGUAAACAGAACAAUAUGACAUUCAUGUUUAUAAGUUUAUUACAGAACACUCUCACAGCUAAAGCAAGUGAAACUUCAAUCACUCAAAAGCAAAUAAACCAAAAACAACCCAUAUCAAAAAUCUUAAAACCAACAGCCAACUUAAUUAUAUAAUCUAGAUGUUCCAUAAUCCUAAUGCAAAACGCUGAGAGAGACAGAGAGAGUGUUGGGGGUGGAUUUACAUCCUACCUCAAGGCCCAUUAGACAAUAAAUUAGACCCACUUUACUAUGAAGCCCUAGCUUCUUCCUUGUAUAAAUAGAGAGAUACCUCUCUUUAUCAAGGAGCUCUUCUUCUCCAUUUUUAGACUUAGAACACUUCUUACAAAGGAUUUAUAGAUUAUUAGAUUUAUUUACACUUGUAAUCCUACAUGUAAUACAAUCUUAAAUCAAUAAACUCUUUUGAUGUUCAUUUCUCAUUUGAUUCUUUAAAGAUUUCUCCUAAACCUCAAGAAUCUAAUUCUUAUUUUUAGAUUCUUUUAUUGUAUUGAUUCAACAAAAAUCACCAGCAUAAACACCAUUUUUGGAUCAAACAGUUGGCGCUAGAGAGAGGGGCCAAGGAGAACAAUCUUCGAAGCAAAUCAAAUUUGGAAGAACCCUAAUCUACCCAAAAAAAAAAAAAAAGAGGAUCAAGAAUCAAAAUGGAUUCUUUCCUCUUCCAUUCUCGAAGCAGCUGAGUAGUAUGCAGAGCUUUCUCAUCCUCGGUGAACCUGCAAUCGUAGCCGUUCCAGAUCUAGCUUCACCUCAAGUUUUCAGUCCAGCAACUAGAAGAUCUCGACGUUCUCGGUUCGUUUACGUCAAGCAUAAAUCUCUGGUCAAGCAUAUCAGUUGGGCCUGCAAGCCCAAUUCUCCACUGAAGGAGAACAAGCCCAAUUCUCAGAGUUUCAAACACGGCGACUUCUUAGCUGUGUCUGCGUCUCGAUCCAUCGCCAUCCGUGGAGACCAGAGAUCGUCAACGUGGAAGCCGUAACUGCGCUGGUUCUUCCUCGAGCUCGAAGCCAAGAUGGAGACAGCAAUGGAGUUUCAAUCACCGCCGCCGUAAAGACGAGCCAUCCUCACAGCUUCCGCCAUCUCCUCAACUUGGCAAGGGAGCUUAAGGGUUUGGUGAAGUACACAAAUGAGAAAUUUGCUUGAUGAAAGCUUGGAUUUUGAUGUCACAGAAGACCGACCGAAGAGCCGAAGAUUCUCAUCGGAAGCAACGACGGUCACUUCCGCAAAUCGACAAAACGAAACCUUGAGCUCCACAACCGGCAAAAAGAAGCCUAGAGCACCGCAACCGGCGACAUGGCUCGAUCUCAACGACCACGACUCAACCUCGAUGCAUUCAGAGAAGAUGAUGACAGGGAUCAACGACGUCGGAGCUGCUACUUUCUGGUACGAAACAUUGAGAAGGACCCAUCAGAACCGUUAUGAUACGCUUGUGACCAAGGUCAAGUCUUUGCUCGAUCCAUUAGCUCCUUGCAAGUUCUCCCAUCCGGUUUGGAUCAAGACUUCGAUGCUCUCAUCUCCUAUGCGUCUUCUUCUCGUCAAAGCUCGAGGCUUGAACUCGCAAGAACCAUCUCAUCACAAGCUUGCCGUCUCGGCACGAGCUCCUCUCUACUCUCUCCCGCCCUGUCUCUUCUUUGGAAGAUGUUGCUAGCUCGGUGACGAUCUGGGAAGUGAAGUGAGGUCGUCUCUGUUGAUGUUCGUGGAGAUGUCUGUGCGUAGCUGACCAUUUUCUCCACAAAGGAAACAGCUUCACUCUGAUCUUCAGACAGAACCCAUUAACAAGAGACCAUAUUGCCAAAUAAUUCAACACUUGAGCUCACUACCGAGUUCUACAUGUUUUGGGAGUUAAGUGAAGCACAGUUCACACCAAGAUAAGCUCGGGGACAGCAAGGCUUUGUUACUUGCGAGCAUGCCGCAACCGGCGCAAUCUUCACAAGAACAAAAACGAGAUGGAAAUGGUGAGACGUUGCCGACAAGGAAGCUCGUGCCCAUUAAUGGAAGAGGCUUUGAUGGAGGAUUCCGAGAUGGCUUCGAUGUACGUCCAGUACUCGGGACGGUCAUCACUUGCUUGGCACGAGCGAUAGAAUAGGAGGAGAGUUCCUCCAUGACGAGGAGAAGCAUCAAUUGGUCAUGAUCAUGCCGACGCCAAGCUCUCCAACAAGGUCGUGCUUCUUCAGGGAUCAUCUCGUCUCACCCCGUCAAUGGCUGCUCUCUCGUUACGACAUAAUCCUUGAGCUCGUGCGGUUUAACGCCGGACAACAGGCACGUGCUUUACUCGGCACUGGCCACGUCUUCGAGAGCUCCACCGCUAGAAGCUUGUUCCUGGCUUCAAGCUCUGAUUCAAACUCCGAAAAGAGAGAAGAAAACAGAGGAACGUACGAUGGGCCAUAACCAGCUCGGUAUCUCCUUAUGCUCAGCUCAUAGUCUCAUAACGAGCUUACCGCAACUGGCGCAAACUUGAGAGAAGAAAAGUUCGAUAAGAACAAGCUCAUCUUCUGCUACAAACGACAACAUAGAACUUCUUUAGCACCGCCCACUUCAUGACAAAACAACAAUAAGAUAAGUUUUCAGAAAAACUUUGUCUAAUAAUUAUUGCUCCUAUGACUUUAUAAGCUUUAACUUGUGGUCAAGUUUAUAGUUUGCCUCUUUAAUAAUUUAUUCUCUAACAGCAUGAAUAUAAUAUUUACGGAGACAAUAUUGACCAUUGCAACAUAUUAACUUAUGUUCUAGGUCGCUUUACUUGAUUAUAUCAAAGCUUACGACAUGUGGUUGCUAACAAGUCUUAAUUUUCUUGAAGCUUGUAACAACUUCGCUUGGGGACAAAGGAUAGUCCAUCAGCUAUUGCUGGACAUCCCGUACUCAUGACAAGCUGCGGAUUGACAAGAACAACUCGUCAUAGCCAGCAUAAACUCCUCGGCAAGAAGAAUAACGACAUGAGACAUGAGCCUAUCUCAACCCUACAAAGAUAAGUUCUUUUAUUAAACCAUCACAUGCUUUACUCACUUUUAAAUUAGUGUUAUGGUAAACAUUGUGGCUUUGGUUUAAAUUAUCAAACAACUCUAAGUUGUUCACUCAUCUCAUGUUAUUGCUUUGCUGUUGCUGUUGAUAGCCUUAUGAUAUUAAUAAGUUGACAAUUAUUACAUCAUCAUGUGCAACUCACGAGCACUAAGCAAAAACAAGUUCAAUAGCUUGCUUAUUAAUUAUGCAACAGUUGAUUAUCUAUUUUUUAUUUUUUUGGUUCAUAUUGGUCUAAUCAUGAUCACGCAUUUUGUGAACCAGAGCCAAAGAGAAAAACAGAGCCAACAAGCUGUUGCCGCCACCAUAUGUCCUCAUGCUUCGAACGACGGUUCUCAGCUUCGAGCUUGUUGAAAUCAGUACAAGCAGCAUAAGCCGGCACAUUUCUCAGCAUCAUCAUAGCCUGACGAGCAUACACACCAACUACUUGUUCGGCACACACGAUCUCAACACGAGACUUCGGGUCGGCAAUAGUUCGAGAUCGAUUUCAUCUCUCUCAACGAACUUGGGGGGACUUACUGUUGGGGGUGGAUUUACAUCCUACCUCAAGGCCCAUUAGACAAUAAAUUAGACCCACUUUACUAUGAAGCCCUAGCUUCUUCCUUGUAUAAAUAGAGAGAUACCUCUCUUUAUCAAGGAGCUCUUCUUCUCCAUUUUUAGACUUAGAACACUUCUUACAAAGGAUUUAUAGAUUAUUAGAUUUAUUUACACUUGUAAUCCUACAUGUAAUACAAUCUUAAAUCAAUAAACUCUUUUGAUGUUCA